GUGAAUCAUCGAAUCUUUGAACGCAAAUUGCACUUCCUGGUAUUCCGGGGAGUAUGCCUGUUUGCGGGUCAGCCUAAAAAAAAUAGACAUUGUUGCUGUUCCGCGGUGGCGUCCGUCGGAAAUUGGGUUAUCUUAAACCUUUUGGUUUAAGCGACUUAAAAGUUUCCUUUUGUUUCAAUGAACGUUAAUAAGUUUUAUUUCUUUACAAGUUCAAGGUAUCGCUUUUUAUUAGACGUGGCCGUCAUAUCGGAGCGCGUCCAUC
Molecule: unclassified non-coding RNA, 262 nt
Filed under: Glomus sp.
Lineage: Eukaryota; Fungi; Glomeromycota; Glomeromycetes; Glomerales; Glomeraceae
Description: partial contains 5.8S ribosomal RNA and internal transcribed spacer 2
Rfam family: 5.8S ribosomal RNA (bases 1-71)
Source: RNAcentral